This 1374-nucleotide ribosomal RNA is filed under the name Vibrio natriegens. RNAcentral describes it as "bacterial SSU rRNA". It matches the Rfam family "Bacterial small subunit ribosomal RNA", at positions 61 to 1415 of the family's 1533-position model. The record is from RNAcentral. Lineage: Bacteria; Pseudomonadati; Pseudomonadota; Gammaproteobacteria; Vibrionales; Vibrionaceae.
GUCGAGCGGAAACGAGUUAACUGAACCUUCGGGGGACGUUAACGGCGUCGAGCGGCGGACGGGUGAGUAAUGCCUAGGAAAUUGCCCUGAUGUGGGGGAUAACCAUUGGAAACGAUGGCUAAUACCGCAUGAUGCCUACGGGCCAAAGAGGGGGACCUUCGGGCCUCUCGCGUCAGGAUAUGCCUAGGUGGGAUUAGCUAGUUGGUGAGGUAAGGGCUCACCAAGGCGACGAUCCCUAGCUGGUCUGAGAGGAUGAUCAGCCACACUGGAACUGAGACACGGUCCAGACUCCUACGGGAGGCAGCAGUGGGGAAUAUUGCACAAUGGGCGCAAGCCUGAUGCAGCCAUGCCGCGUGUGUGAAGAAGGCCUUCGGGUUGUAAAGCACUUUCAGUCGUGAGGAAGGUAGUGUAGUUAAUAGCUGCAUUAUUUGACGUUAGCGACAGAAGAAGCACCGGCUAACUCCGUGCCAGCAGCCGCGGUAAUACGGAGGGUGCGAGCGUUAAUCGGAAUUACUGGGCGUAAAGCGCAUGCAGGUGGUUUGUUAAGUCAGAUGUGAAAGCCCGGGGCUCAACCUCGGAAUAGCAUUUGAAACUGGCAGACUAGAGUACUGUAGAGGGGGGUAGAAUUUCGGUGUAGCGGUGAAAUGCGUAGAGAUCUGAAGGAAUACCGGUGGCGAAGGCGGCCCCCUGGACAGAUACUGACACUCAGAUGCGAAAGCGUGGGGAGCAAACAGGAUUAGAUACCCUGGUAGUCCACGCCGUAAACGAUGUCUACUUGGAGGUUGUGGCCUUGAGCCGUGGCUUUCGGAGCUAACGCGUUAAGUAGACCGCCUGGGGAGUACGGUCGCAAGAUUAAAACUCAAAUGAAUUGACGGGGGCCCGCACAAGCGGUGGAGCAUGUGGUUUAAUUCGAUGCAACGCGAAGAACCUUACCUACUCUUGACAUCCAGAGAACUUUUCAGAGAUGAAUUGGUGCCUUCGGGAACUCUGAGACAGGUGCUGCAUGGCUGUCGUCAGCUCGUGUUGUGAAAUGUUGGGUUAAGUCCCGCAACGAGCGCAACCCUUAUCCUUGUUUGCCAGCGAGUAAUGUCGGGAACUCCAGGGAGACUGCCGGUGAUAAACCGGAGGAAGGUGGGGACGACGUCAAGUCAUCAUGGCCCUUACGAGUAGGGCUACACACGUGCUACAAUGGCGCAUACAGAGGGCGGCCAACUUGCGAAAGUGAGCGAAUCCCAAAAAGUGCGUCGUAGUCCGGAUUGGAGUCUGCAACUCGACUCCAUGAAGUCGGAAUCGCUAGUAAUCGUGGAUCAGAAUGCCACGGUGAAUACGUUCCCGGGCCUUGUACACACCGCCCGUCACACCAUGGGAGUGGUU